UUUUUUAACUUGACAUCCAAAUUGAUACUCCUUCAAUUUGAACAUAUUCUUUUGCUCUAGCACUGCCUACAAUAUUACCUCUUAUGGAGGGAGAAGGCAGCAAUGGUGGAGGCAUGCGCAGGAAGCCACAAGAAAAAAGAAAGAGUAUGACCAGCUGCUCCUUCAAUGCGAGAAUAGAGGUAUUUGAAUUGAUCUGGUGGGCGGUGGCUGCUAUUCAUUUUCAGUUCUUAGUAUAGAUUUGAUGCCGAUGCUCAGUUUAAUGAUUUGUUUUUUUGUUUCCAAGGAUGAUGAGGAGCUCUUUGCUGCUGAGAGUAUGCAGAUCUGCUUCUCAAAGAUGAUGAUUUCUUGUUCAAUCACAAAGAGUUCAUGAUGGUUCAGCACAGGUCCAAUCCUGAAUUCCUCAUCCGAUGGUCUAUAUCCUCUUCUUGUGAAAUCAGGUCCUUCUGUAAUCUUGUAUCGAGGUCAGUCUGAUCUUUCCUUUUAUAUUGCUGUUUUUUUUCUCAUGAGCAUAUUCCUCUUUUCUGUAUUAUCAGUGGUUAGUACAGUUGCUUAAUAGUGGAGAGGGUGCAUUCAAGUUGGUUCUAUGCAGGCGAGCUUCCAAAGGUUGUACCUGAAAUAAUCAUGAAUCGUAUGUGUUGAUAAGCAUAUAUAAGCAUUUUAGUUGAAUCAUACAUUUGACAGUGUAUAUGUGUUGUCAGGUGACAAAUCAUAGUCUCUAUCAUCUAAGCUCUGACAACCUACAUGAGUUCAUUGAGUGAUUGAGAAGGGCAUAAGGAAGACUGACCAGCUUACCCAGGUUGGAAGAAUUUCCUUGACUUUCAUCUGAGAUAAAAAGAAUCUGAUUCUGUUGCAUAAUGUGUUUCUGGAUAGCAUUUAAUUUCUACUACAACUUUCAGGAAAGGCAGCAAACAUGAAUGCUUGAUACAUGCCAAAUGCUUGAUUGGAGAGUUCAUCAAGGCCUUCCA
Molecule: long non-coding RNA, 965 nt
Filed under: Setaria italica (foxtail millet)
Lineage: Eukaryota; Viridiplantae; Streptophyta; Magnoliopsida; Poales; Poaceae
Description: long non-coding RNA (SITA_LNC002956)
Source: RNAcentral